GCCGGUGUGAUGGAAUUGGCAGACGUAGCGGACUCAAAAUCCGCCGGUAGCGAUACCGUACCGGUUCAAGUCCGGUCACCGGCACCA
RNAcentral lists this transfer RNA (87 nucleotides) under Ruminococcus bromii. RNAcentral's name for it is "tRNA-Leu". It matches the Rfam family "tRNA". From Rfam's summary of the family: Transfer RNA (tRNA) molecules are approximately 80 nucleotides in length. The record is from RNAcentral. Lineage: Bacteria; Bacillati; Bacillota; Clostridia; Eubacteriales; Oscillospiraceae. RNAcentral also lists the same sequence under 26 other names.